GCCCCAUCGCCCAAUGGCAAAUCAUAAUGCGGAUGAAGAUAUGAUCUGCUUGAAUGAAGAACUCUCGACCUCGUGUGAGCGAGGGACCACGAUCCUGCCCGGUGGAAAAAAAGGCAACAAACGUUCCUUUAGUGACACGGAGGCCUUACCUCCCCCAUCAAAAGCUCUGUUCUUUCGUUCUGCCGACGCAAGUGGCAACGACGUAGGCCGAUUAAAGGAGAGCUGCAACGAUAAUCCAGGAGCAACUUGGGGGACUGUGAUUCAUCGAAUUCGCAAGGCACGUAUGCCCAGGUGGCUGCAAGAACAAAUGCUCCGCAGAGACAGCGCAAUUCACAACAUUAUCGUGAUCCCAGCGUUCGCAAGUCCGCACCUCUUACCUCUUCCAACGGAAUUCAGGCUCAGAAUCAGGGAGUCGACCGAGAGUUCUUGUCUGCGCCUAAUGGGCAUUUACCCUCCUUCUCAGGCAACGGAGUUUACUUUCAACAAAAUCUCCCUUACAUGACGGCGUCUGGUGCUGGUGGGGCGGGUGUCCCCCCUGAUCUCUCUUUUACUCGGAAACUCCAGCGGUGAGCUUGGUGGCCCCGCCGGAUUUGAAGCUCUUCUGGAUCUGCUUGGCUCGUGCGGCGUGUUAGAUCAAGAACCGACCCUCCCUCCUUGCCUAUGAACCUGUAACGUCCGCCGCCAGUACUACAUCGC
Molecule: RNA transcript, 696 nt
Organism: Wasmannia auropunctata (little fire ant)
Lineage: Eukaryota; Metazoa; Arthropoda; Insecta; Hymenoptera; Formicidae
Exons: 3
Source: RefSeq, a predicted model, not a curated record